Molecule: ribosomal RNA, 253 nt
Filed under: uncultured bacterium
Lineage: Bacteria
Description: partial 16S ribosomal RNA
Rfam family: Bacterial small subunit ribosomal RNA
Source: RNAcentral
UACGAGAGGCCCAAACGUUAUUCGGAUUUACUGGGCGUAAAGCGCACGUAGGCGGCUUUGUAAGUUAGAGGUGAAAGCCCGGAGCUCAACUCCGGAAUAGCCUUUAAGACUGCAUCGCUAGAACGUUGGAGAGGUAAGUGGAAUUCCGAGUGUAGAGGUGAAAUUCGUAGAUAUUCGGAAGAACACCAGUGGCGAAGGCGGCAUUCUGGACCGAUAUUGACGCUGAGGAGCGAAAGCCAGGGGAGCAAACGGG